This 328-nucleotide unclassified non-coding RNA is filed under the name Hevea brasiliensis (rubber tree). The record is from RNAcentral. Lineage: Eukaryota; Viridiplantae; Streptophyta; Magnoliopsida; Malpighiales; Euphorbiaceae.
GAACAACCAACAAGGGUUCGAGUCACAGUAGAGGACAAGUGAGAACACUAUUGAUCCUCCUGGUGUGAACGAAAAAACGAAAUGUUAUUUCAAGAUCCAUAUUCAUUAAGGUAUCUUUCUGCAAUAGCAGCAUGAGUAGCUGCACCAAUAGGCAAUACAUCUUCAUCAAUCAUAAAAUGUGGUGAAUGUCCUGUAUGUAUUGAUCCUAAGGUCUCAUUCCUUAUACCAAUAUAGAAAAAUGCAGCAGGAAUUACUUCAGAGUAGAAUGAAAAAUCCUCUGCUCCCAUCAUUGGCGGAACGACCUUAAAAUUGGUCGUUCCAACCAAAU